This 475-nucleotide ribosomal RNA is filed under the name uncultured bacterium. RNAcentral describes it as "SSU rRNA". It matches the Rfam family "Bacterial small subunit ribosomal RNA", at positions 26 to 518 of the family's 1533-position model. The record is from RNAcentral.
AGGACGAACGCUGGCGGCGCGCCUAACACAUGCAAGUCGAGCGAGAACCGGGGCUUCGGUCCCGGGGACAGCGGCGAACGGGUGCGUAACACGUGAGCAACCUGCCCCGAAGACCGGGACAACCCGAGGAAACUCGGACUAAUACCGGAUGUCCUCACCGGAUCGCAUGGUCUGGUGAGGAAAUGGAUUCCGCUUCGGGAUGGGCUCGCGGUCUAUCAGCUUGUUGGUGGGGUAACGGCCUACCAAGGCGACGACGGAUAGCUGGUCUGAGAGGACGAUCAGCCACACUGGGACUGAGACACGGCCCAGACUCCUACGGGAGGCAGCAGUGGGGAAUCUUGCGCAAUGGGGGAAACCCUGACGCAGCGACGCCGCGUGCGGGAUGAAGGCCUUCGGGUUGUAAACCGCUUUCAGCAGGGACGAAAUUGACGGUACCUGCAGAAGAAGGCCCGGCCAACUACGUGCCAGCAGCCGC